RNAcentral lists this long non-coding RNA (324 nucleotides) under Dromaius novaehollandiae (emu). Its description in RNAcentral is "lncRNA (ENSDNVG00000001215.1)". Lineage: Eukaryota; Metazoa; Chordata; Aves; Casuariiformes; Dromaiidae. The record is from RNAcentral.
AUCAGGUCUCUUGUGCAGGGUGUGGAGUACAGACUGGAUGAAACACUGGGUAAUGUACUACUAGGACACAGUAGCGUGAGAUGGCCCAGCUCAUAAGCUAUAUGUUUUAAACCACUGAGACUGAAUUUACUGGRUCUGAACAGCUUCUUUCUCACACCAAGGGGAAAAUGUCAAGGUUUCUGUCAAGGGGAAAGAAGAUGUAUGGCUUUCCAUGAAGUGAUGAGUCCCUCCAGGGUUCAGAGUUUUGUGAGCUCAGUUGGGACUGGCCUUGCUAUGAAGAAUGGGGGAGUGCUGCCUGGUCCCAGGGGAGCAGGAGCAGUUGUG